This 2584-nucleotide ribosomal RNA is filed under the name Campylobacter felis. RNAcentral describes it as "partial 23S ribosomal RNA". It matches the Rfam family "Bacterial large subunit ribosomal RNA", at positions 1 to 2113 of the family's 2925-position model. The record is from RNAcentral. Lineage: Bacteria; Pseudomonadati; Campylobacterota; Epsilonproteobacteria; Campylobacterales; Campylobacteraceae.
AGGUAAGCUACUAAGAGCGAAUGGUGGAUGCCUUGACUGGUAGAGGCGAUGAAGGACGUACUAGACUGCGAUAAGCUAGGUGGAGCUGUCAAGAAGCUUUGAUGCCUAGAUUUCCGAAUGGGGCAACCCAAGAUAUAGAGAUAUAUCUUACCGAUACGGAGCGAACGAGGGGAAUUGAAACAUCUUAGUACCCUCAGGAAAAGAAAUCAAAAGAGAUUGCGUCAGUAGCGGCGAGCGAAAGCGCAAGAGGGCAAACCCAGUGCUUGCACUGGGGGUUGUAGGACUGCAAUGUGCAAGAGGAAAGGUUAGCAGAACACUCUGGAAAGUGUAGCCAUAGAGGGUGAUAGUCCCGUAUGCGAAAACCUAAGCCUAGCUAGCAGUAUCCUGAGUAGGGCGGGACACGCGAAAUCCUGUCUGAAGCUGGGUAGACCACUAUCCAACCCUAAAUACUACUACCAGAUCGAUAGCGAACAAGUACCGUGAGGGAAAGGUGAAAAGAACGGCGGUGAGCCGAGUGAAAUAGAACCUGAAACCAUUUGCUUACAAUCAUUCAGAGCUCCAUACUACAUUCCUUAGAGAAUUUAAAUAAGGGUGCGGUAUUUUGUAGGAAAUUUUGUGGCUUUUCAAGCUUUGCAAAUGAGACAUACUGCUUGUAUGUCGCAGUGUAGCAAAGCGAAGAAUCCGCAAAAUUUACACAAAAGACAAGCCCAAAGAUAACUUUUCUAAGGAGUGUAGUGGUGUGAUGGACUGCCUUUUGCAUAAUGAGCCUGCGAGUUGUGGUGUCUGGCGAGGUUAAGCUAACGCGAAGCCGUAGCGAAAGCGAGUCUUAAUAGGGCGCUUAGUCAGAUGCUGCAGACCCGAAACGAAGUGAUCUAUCCAUGAGCAGCUUGAAGCUAGUGUAAGAACUAGUGGAGGAGCGAACCCGCUAGCGUUGAAAAGCUAUGGGAUGACUUGUGGAUAGGGGUGAAAGGCCAAUCAAACUUCGUGAUAGCUGGUUCUCUCCGAAAUAUAUUUAGGUAUAGCGUUGUGUCGUAAUAUAAGGGGGUAGAGCACUGAAUGGGCUAGGGCAUACACCAAUGUACCAAACCCUAUCAAACUCCGAAUACCUUAUGUGUAAUCACAGCAGUCAGGCGGCGAGUGAUAAAAUCCGUCGUCAAGAGGGAAACAACCCAGACUACCCGCUAAGGUCCCCAAAUCUUACUUAAGUGGAAAACGAUGUGAAGUUACUUAAACAACCAGGAGGUUGGCUUAGAAGCAGCCAUCCUUUAAAGAAAGCGUAAUAGCUCACUGGUCUAGUGAUUUUGCGCGGAAAAUAUAACGGGGCUAAAGUAAGUACCGAAGCGGUAGGCUUGUGCUUAAUCAAAUUCUUUAAGACAAGGGCAAAAACCCUAACGAAUUUAAGAAAGUUAAGAAGUUAAAUAUAAAUUUUUGCUUUAAAUUUGUAAGUUUUAACUUUAAAUUUGAAUUUCAAAAUUUCAAAAAGAAAAAAUAAAUUUAAAAACCAAAUUUAAAAAACUUAACUUUGAAACUUAAAUUUGAAAGAAAAAGAAUUUAAAUUUGAAAUUUCAAAAAAAAUUUCAAAAACAAACUUAAAUUCAAAGCUUCUUUCAAAAAAGUCAAGAAAUGAAGAAGUCAAAAAGAAAAAAUUCCACUAAAGAAUUUGCUUAAGCACAAGCGGUAGGAGAGCGUUCUAUUUGCGCCGAAGGUAUACCGGUAAGGAGUGCUGGAGCGGAUAGAAGUGAGCAUGCAGGCAUGAGUAGCGAUAAUUAAUGUGAGAAUCAUUAACGCCGUAAACCCAAGGUUUCCUACGCGAUGCUCGUCAUCGUAGGGUUAGUCGGGUCCUAAGCUGAGUCCGAAAGGGGUAGGCGAUGGCAAAUAGGUUAAUAUUCCUAUACCAACAUUAGUGUGCGAUGGAAGGACGCUUAGGGCUAAGGGGGCUAGCGGAUGGAAGUGCUAGUCUAAGGUCGUAGGAGGUUAUACAGGCAAAUCCGUAUAAGAAUACUCCGAGAACUGAAAGGCUUUUUGAAGUCUUCGGAUGGAAAGAAGAACCCCUGAUGCCGUCGAGCCAAGAAAAGUUUCUAAGUUUAGCUAAUGUUGCCCGUACCGUAAACCGACACAGGUGGGUGGGAUGAGUAUUCUAAGGCGCGUGGAAGAACUCUCUUUAAGGAACUCUGCAAAAUAGCACCGUAUCUUCGGUAUAAGGUGUGCCUCCCUUUGUAUUAGAAUUUACUUCGAAAGCAAAGAAGGUUACAACAAAGAGUCCCUCCCGACUGUUUACCAAAAACACAGCACUCUGCUAACUCGUAAGAGGAUGUAUAGGGUGUGACGCCUGCCCGGUGCUCGAAGGUUAAUUGAUGGGGUUAGCAUUAGCGAAGCUCUUGAUCGAAGCCCGAGUAAACGGCGGCCGUAACUAUAACGGUCCUAAGGUAGCGAAAUUCCUUGUCGGUUAAAUACCGACCUGCAUGAAUGGCGUAACGAGAUGGGAGCUGUCUCAAAGAGGGAUCCAGUGAAAUUGUAGUGGAGGUGAAAAUUCCUCCUACCCGCGGCAAGACGGAGAGACCCCGUGGACCUUUACUACAGCUUG